UGGGUAUUGGAUUUUUAUCAACUACUUUUUACACACCCAUUGAAAUGAUGGCACUCCCUACCCCCACUGUAUUAGUGUAGUAUUAUAUUGUUCCAUGAGUUUGGAAGCCCAAGGUUGGGUCUUUUUGUUGUUGUUGAAAUGUAGAUCAAACA
Perognathus longimembris pacificus (Pacific pocket mouse) is the source of this 152-nucleotide long non-coding RNA. RefSeq lists it as uncharacterized. The transcript has 3 exons. Lineage: Eukaryota; Metazoa; Chordata; Mammalia; Rodentia; Heteromyidae. The record is from RefSeq and is a predicted model, not a curated record.